CUGUAAUUGGAAUGAGUACACUUUAAAUCCUUUAACAAGGACCUAUUGGAGGGCAAGUCUGGUGCCAGCAGCCGCGGUAACUCCAGCUCCAAUAGCGUAUAUUAAAGUUGUUGCGGUUAAAACGUUCGUAGUUGAACUUGUGCUUCAUACGGGUAGUACAACUAUAAUUGUAGUUUGUACUGUACCUUAUGUAUGUAAGCGUAUUACCGGUGGAGUUCUUAUAUGUAAAUAUUUUAUUUUCCUCCUAUUUAAACCUGCUUCAGUGCUCUUCAUCGAGUGUUGUUGUGGGCCGGUACAAUUACUUUGAACAAAUUAGAGUGCUUAAAGCAGGCUCCAAAUGCCUGAAUAUUUUGUGCAUGGAAUAAUGAAAUAAGACCCCUGUUCUACUUUCAUUGGUUUUUAGAUCAAGAGGUAAUGAUUAAUAGAAGCAGUUUGGGGGCAUUAGUAUUACGACGCGAGAGGUGAAAUUCUUGGACCGUCGUAAGACUAACUUAAGCGAAAGCAUUUGCCAAAGAUGUUUUCAUUAAUCAAGAACGAAAGUUAGAGGUUCGAAGGCGAUCAGAUACCGCCCUAGUUCUAACCAUAAACGAUGCCAGCUAGCAAUUGGGUGUAGCUACUAUCAUGGCUCUCUCAGUCGCUUCCCGGGAAACCAAAGCUUUUGGGCUCCGGGGGAAGUAUGGUUGCAAAGCUGAAACUUAAAGGAAUUGACGGAAGGGCACCACCAGGAGUGGA
RNAcentral lists this ribosomal RNA (732 nucleotides) under Strongygaster triangulifera. RNAcentral describes it as "SSU rRNA". It matches the Rfam family "Eukaryotic small subunit ribosomal RNA", at positions 503 to 1180 of the family's 1831-position model. Lineage: Eukaryota; Metazoa; Arthropoda; Insecta; Diptera; Tachinidae. The record is from RNAcentral.